Molecule: long non-coding RNA, 2619 nt
Organism: Oreochromis aureus
Lineage: Eukaryota; Metazoa; Chordata; Actinopteri; Cichliformes; Cichlidae
Exons: 2
Source: RefSeq, a predicted model, not a curated record
AUCUUAAUGAACCUUGAAUGAACAUGAAACAUAAUCCUGGUACUACCCAACGUAGCAUGUGUAGAACUGAGCAUAAGGCAUUACUACAGUGCUUGAUCUAUGCGUAAAGGAUACGCUCACCAGAAUACUCUUGGUCUUUUUUGUUUUUUUGGAUGGUUACAGGAAGCCAGGGUAUGUGGCGUGUGUGGUGUUUCACUCUGAAGCCUCAAACCCAGCAGGGUGUCAGGUUCAUGAAUGCGGUGCAAGGAUGAAGUUUCGACACAUUAAGCUGCGACCCUGAAGGCUGUUUAUACAAGAGCAACACAGAAAUUGAAGGGAUCGGGGGUAAAGACACCCACCAGCAUUAACCCUCACCAGGGCUGCCCCAAACACCCACCACCACACUACCCAUGAUGUAGUGGAGGCGAGGUCUCCCUGCUGUCAUCGGUGACCACGCAUGUCUAGCUCAUUGAGUGUGAAGGAAAAGCUGUGCUUCUUUCGGAAAGGUGAGAUAUUACUGUAAUCCAUUUGUGUAAAUCUCUCAUUAAUAUAAUGAAGAGAAAGCAGAGAUGAUGUGGCUUAGAUAUCACUAACCACAACAGUGCUUCUGUCCAAAAGUGUGAAGAUAAACAGUCCAAUAAUGAAGACAAUGAAAUGAAAGUAACUUCCUUUGUCUUAGAGAAAUUUUUAUCACUUUUGAUGCCAUCAAAUAUAACCAGUGGGUAAAGCUGUGUGUGAAGCCUGCUAACAACUAUUUAUUAUGUACUUAUGAAAGCUGAUUUAGGUAUUUUGAUGACACUAUUUGUAAAAGGUAUACUCUUAUUCAUUCAGUGUGACUGUUUCUUAGCAACAAGAGUGGGAAAAAGAACAUAUACAUAGCUGAAUAGCUUAAUUAUCACAACAUGGUGACUUCCAAGAAAAACAUGAGUAUUUCAUGUGAAUAUUGUUUAAGUAUUUAUUUGUCGCUAAAUUCAAGUUUGUUAGGUUAAGAAAAAUCGCCAAUAUUUCUGGAUGGCUUUUUUCACCUUUGUCCCGUCUUCCUCACGCCCAACCGAUCGCAGAUCCUUGUUUCUGAUUCUGCUGGAGGUAUCUUCCUGUUAAAAGGGAGUUUUUUCUUCCCACUGUUGUCAAGUGCUUGUUCACAGGGGGUCGUCUAAUUGGUGGAGAUUUCUCUGUAUUAUUGUAAGGUCUCUACCUUACAAUACGAAGCACCUUUAGCCGACUGUUUGUUGACAGACAUAGAGAGCUUAGCACAUAGUGAGAGGCUUCUAUUCUAUAUUCACGUUAGUGUAACAACAACUUAAGUGAGGUUAUAUUCACUUCACCUGUCUCUCCUCAGCAGACAGGGGAAGUUUGUUUUGCCAGCACACAGACAAAGCAGAGUGGAAAAGACGACUCAGCUUGGUUUUCUGGAUUGACUGUUAGAUGGCAGUACCCAGUACCAGGUACCUUUUUAGUAGCUACUUGGCCAGGGUUCCAACUGAGCCGAGUCGAGCUGAAUAUGCAACAUCAACAGACUGCACGCCACUGUGUGACUCACUGGAUGAGUCAUGAGAGUGACUCCUUCACAAGAGUCAAACCUGUCAUUUUUGAAACCCGACGACGAGGGAAACGGCUGCACACAAACCAGCACCGUGGUCCAACAACAAGGUGCAGACAUUUAGCAUUGGUUUAGCAGCAUGUAUGCCAUCGCCUCGAUAUCGUCCAUUGUUGUGUUGUGCUUGUGCCGCAUAAAAAGUAUGUCAAGGGACUUUUGGGCUGUGUGUGUGGGCUAUAAUGACCUCACCCACACUGAAGUGGUACUCAGUUCUAAUGGAAACCGAAUAGAGCUGAGUUGAAAAGCUGUUAGUGGAAAAGAGGCAAAAGGAAAACAUGUUCCCUGAGUUCCCUGAGUAAACUCCUGAAAUAAGCACAGUUGACCUAAGCAGUAGACCCAGCCAUCCAUCCAUGCUCUACACGGAUAAUGCUAUUUGUAUGUUUUAACUUUUACUGUUCUCCACAGCCAGCUGAGGGUCUAACAACAGUACAAGCAAGAGUAACCCACAGACCGGUUGUACCACAUGUCUUUGACACUGCCCCCAUCUGACAGCAGACGCUCUCUGCGGGCAGAAAGGCAGACUAUAGCUGCUCACAGAUUUCCAAACCACUACCACCACUAAACCACGAUUUUCCCCAUCAUACUGUGUUGUGGUGUGGGAGGUCACAGCAGGGUCUAUAGGAUGAUUUUGUUAUCUUGCAAGGGAUUUAUAAUUCCAUGUUAAAUGUACUCCGUAGGUACGUCGUAACCUUUGAUUCCUCCUAUGCCUUUCCAGCUACUUCUUUUUCUGCCUCCAAAGAGAGAAACCUCACUGCUAACCACUGCUUUGGUAGCAAAACUGCAACGCAACAGUGCUGCUUUCCACUUGAAGUGGGAAGUCAAAAAAACUCCUGGGUCAGAAUUUUCAACUGGAACACCCUGGUAAGAUUUUGGAACUUGCAAAGUCAGAGAAGCUCUAAUAUCCCCAACUCACUAUCCAGAAUUAGUAAAACUGUAAAACUUUUAAUCUGUGCUACUACUACUGUGUGUGUGUGUGUGUGUGUGUGUGUGUGUGUGUGUGUGUGUGUGUGUGUGUGUGUGUGUGUGUGUGUGUGUGUGUGACU